RNAcentral lists this ribosomal RNA (253 nucleotides) under uncultured bacterium. Its description in RNAcentral is "partial 16S ribosomal RNA". It matches the Rfam family "Bacterial small subunit ribosomal RNA", at positions 524 to 776 of the family's 1533-position model. The record is from RNAcentral.
GACAGAGGGUGCAAACGUUGCUCGGAAUCACUGGGCGUAAAGGGCGUGUAGGCGGGCAUGCAAGUCAGGCGUGAAAUCCCUGGGCUCAACCCAGGAAUUGCACUUGAAACUGCAUGUCUUGAGUAUCGGAGAGGAAAGCGGAAUUCCUGGUGUAGAGGUGAAAUCCGUAGAUAUCAGGAGGAACACCGGUGGCGAAGGCGGCUUUCUGGACGAUAACUGACGCUGAGACGCGAAAGCGUGGGUAGCAAACAGG